Molecule: transfer RNA, 71 nt
Filed under: Marmota monax (woodchuck)
Lineage: Eukaryota; Metazoa; Chordata; Mammalia; Rodentia; Sciuridae
Description: tRNA.Ala
Source: RNAcentral
GGGGUUGUGACUCAGUGAUAGAGUGCUUGCCUAGCAUGUAUGAGGCACUGGGUUUGAUCCUCAGCACUACA